UACGGAGGGUGCGAGCGUUGUCCGGAAUCAUUGGGCGUAAAGGGCGCGUAGGCGGCUCGUUAAGGGUGCGGUGAAAGCCCGGGGCUUAACCCCGGGUCGGCCGUGCCGACUGAUGAGCUCGAGCACUGUAGAGGCAGGUGGAAUUCCGGGUGUAGCGGUGGAAUGUGUAGAGAUCCGGAAGAACACCAGUGGCGAAGGCGGCCUGCUGGGCAGUGGCUGACGCUGAGGCGCGACAGCGUGGGGAGCAAACAGG
Molecule: ribosomal RNA, 253 nt
Filed under: uncultured bacterium
Lineage: Bacteria
Description: partial 16S ribosomal RNA
Rfam family: Bacterial small subunit ribosomal RNA
Source: RNAcentral